UUGUAGGCUGAAACUCGCCUACAUGAAGCUGGAGUUGCUAGUAAUCGCGAAUCAGCAUGUCGCGGUGAAUACGUUCCCGGGCCUUGUACACACCGCCCGACACACCAUGAGAGUUGGCAAUACCCAACGUACGUGAUCUAACCCGCAAGGGAGGAAGCGUCCUAAGGUAGGGUCAGCGAUUGGGGUGAAGUCGUAACAAGGUAAC
RNAcentral lists this ribosomal RNA (205 nucleotides) under uncultured bacterium. RNAcentral describes it as "partial 16S ribosomal RNA". It matches the Rfam family "Bacterial small subunit ribosomal RNA", at positions 1298 to 1500 of the family's 1533-position model. The record is from RNAcentral.